AUUGAACGCUGGCGGCAUGCCUUACACAUGCAAGUCGAACGGCAGCACGGGAGCAAUCCUGGUGGCGAGUGGCGAACGGGUGAGUAAAGUAUCGGAGCGUGCCCAGUCGUGGGGGAUAACGGAGCGAAAGGUACGCUAAUACCGCAUACGAUCUAUGGAUGAAAGCGGGGGAUCGCAAGACCUCUCGCGAUUGGAGCGGCCGAGAUCAGAUUAGCUAGUUGGUGGGGUAAAGGCCCACCAAGGCGACGAUCUGUAGCUGGUCUGAGAGGACGACCAGCCACACUGGAACUGAGACACGGUCCAGACUCCUACGGGAGGCAGCAGUGGGGAAUUUUGGACAAUGGGCGCAAGCCUGAUCCAGCAAUGCCGCGUGCAGGAUGAAGGCCUUCGGGUUGUAAACUGCUUUUGUACGGAACGAGACGGCCCUUUCUAAUACAGGGGGCUAAUGACGGUACCGUAAGAAUAAGCACCGGCUAACUACGUGCCAGCAGCCGCCGUAA
Molecule: ribosomal RNA, 500 nt
Filed under: uncultured bacterium
Lineage: Bacteria
Description: partial 16S ribosomal RNA
Rfam family: Bacterial small subunit ribosomal RNA
Source: RNAcentral